GUGCAGCAGUCGCGAAACCUUUACAAUGCCUGAAAGGGUGAUAAGGGCAUCCUGAGUGCUCCAGCAUUGCUGGGGCUUUUCCGGAGUGUAAAAAGCUCCGGGAAUAAGUGGUGGGUAAGACGGGUGCCAGCCAUUUACAUGGUCUUACAAUUAAAACUCUAAGUUUCAAAGGCAUGUAAACUGGAAGCCGCGGUAAUACCCGCGCCACAAGUGGUGAUCACGGUUAUUGGGUCUAGAGCGUUCGUAGCCGGCCUAAGUAAAUUCUUGGUGAAAUCCCGUGUAAAACAUGGGAAGAGCUAAGAACACUAUUAGGCUAGGGACCAGGAGAGGCUGGAGGGUACU
This 342-nucleotide ribosomal RNA is filed under the name uncultured microorganism. RNAcentral's name for it is "bacterial SSU rRNA". It matches the Rfam family "Archaeal small subunit ribosomal RNA", at positions 330 to 619 of the family's 1478-position model. The record is from RNAcentral.